This 3359-nucleotide long non-coding RNA is filed under the name Haliotis rubra (blacklip abalone). RNAcentral's name for it is "uncharacterized LOC124258922". The record is from RNAcentral. Lineage: Eukaryota; Metazoa; Mollusca; Gastropoda; Lepetellida; Haliotidae.
CAUAAAUUUUAGGGGGGUCAUUCACAUUGUACAUGCUUCUCCAUAAAAAUCAUCCUCACCCACCCUAGCCAUAAAUUAUGAACGGUCCCUAAUGAAUAUGUAAUUGUGGCCUCCUUGUACUCAACAUUGAUGACACAAUGAAGGAGAAACCAAAAUUUUCAUCAUUCAAUGGUACAAUUAUUGCUGAAAAUAAUGUCAUCCGUACCAUGAAUUCCUGAAAACAACACCAAUGGGAUUAUAUGAGCCUGAAAAUGAGAUCACAUAAAUAUGUACAUAUCCUUGAAAGUGAGAUCACAUAUGUACCAGUAUGUAUAGAUCCUUUAAAAGUGAGAUCACAGUGAGACCAAUGGUUGUAGCAAAGAGGUGUCAGUAUCGAGUGAAUAUAUUAACUGUAGUUGUAUAUAAAACAAACAUGUUAUUAUGUUUUCCCCUACUUUUAGGAAAACCGAUAUGAGAUGUCAUAAAGUGUUUGCUGUAGAAAGAGCUCACUGAACACAACCAUGCAGCUACUAGUAGUCACAUAUCCAACAUUGUAUUUUUGUCUACUUAUUCAACUCUUUUUUUAUAUUUACAUAUUAGUUUUAGUUUGUUAAAAACAUAUAGUGAGAACAUAUAACUCUGUAUCUGGUUUCAGACUCUCGUUUAAUGUGCGGGAUGUUUACUUCUGUUACACCAUACUGUAAAUUGUAGUCAAAGACUUCGGCCUCUAUAUUAUGGCCCUGGAAUGUGUAUAAUAUGCAUUUUGAUCAGUUACCAAGUUAAUAGCUUCCUUCAUUUUGAAUCAGUUUUGUGUUUGUAUCUUUUUGUGUUAAUCUAAAAAAAUACAGUUUGGUUCAAAUAGAAAAUACGUUUUCACUUUUGAUUUCAUUUUCUAAUCAUCGAUUUUAGCCCUGGCCAUUUGAACCCAUAAAUCUUAAAAAUGAAUGUGUACCCUUACCCCAUGAAUGUACCUUAAGAGAGUGAAAUGUAGCAUGCCAAGUAUUUUCACUUUAUUUCAGAAAUAAAAGUAAACGCAAAUAAUUUUCUGAUACAAACUGUCAGUUUCAAAUAUUUGCAAAGGCUGCUACUAUUUGCUGAUCAUACAAUGAAUGCAACGAUUAUUGUGCAUUAAUCAUGUUAAUCAUUGUUCCAGUUCUCACCAACGAUUAGCACAUUUUAGUGGUGAGAGCUAGAUUGAUUUUCAAUGUGAGAUGAAAUGAAUUUGUGAAUAUGUUGAUCUCCUAGUUCUUUGAGAAAUACUGAAGCAUAUUCUACAUAGAUCUGUUUAGUCUAUUGUUGUUCAUAAACAGAAUGGUAUUUAAUCCAAUAAUAGUAUACUGAUUUUAUUACUUCCAUAUCUUUACUCCAGUUUCGAAAUUUACAAUAUUUAUUAAAGCAUUUUACACAUUGCUCAAAUGUAUUGAAAUAUCCAAAUUUUGAUAAUUUGAUAUUUAUUCAAGUGUACAUAAUAUUGUUAUGUAAAUACACCCUUACUUUGGAACAGUGUACAUAUUUAUGUAGUGUAUUAUAUUACAUACAUGUUCCUACUUUUAGAUUGAAUUUACAAUAGUGUAUUAGUGCAUAUUGUACAACACUGAUUAUAAUUCAAUUAUUUAUGGUGCAAUGCAAGGUUGAAAAUUGAAUUAUGAAAUUUCAACAUUCUGUUUGUUAAAAUGGGUUGAAGUAUUCUUUGGUCAUGCUGGUAGUAUAUUAAAUUUUAUAAAGAUUUGUGAACAGUGUUUGGCCAUGGAUUUUUUGUGUACAGUAAAUCUAUAUGAUUGUCCAAAAAUGAUAGGAAUUUCUACCAAUGUUCAAUAAGGGGUGGGGUAGCCUUGAGGUUAAGGUGUUCACAAUUAUUCCAUUCCACAAGGGGUUACAAAGUGUCAAGCCCAUUGUUGCUGUUCCUGGCAAAGAUAUUGACUAAAUUAUUAAAUAUUGCUAAAAGCAACAUAAAACCAUACUCUUUCCAGUGUACACUGACAUAGAAACUUUUACAUUAAAGCAUAGGGCGGAAUACGGAGUAUUACAACUGUAAAUUAUAAAUAUAUUUUUAUGCCAUGUUUUUGAUGAAUGAAUGUUUGAUUGUCAUAUGUUUCGAUUAAUAAACAAGUAUUGGGAAUUUACAACAUUUGAUCCUUCCCUAUACAGUACAUAGUUGAGACUGUUUCUACUAUGAAUUUUCAGUUCAUGAUUUGGAACAAAUGCUAUAUCUUUAAAACCAGAUAUCUUUACAUUGUGAAUUGUAAAGGUCAUGCUUUGGAAAUACUUUACCCAUGUAGAACACAGAAAUGAAGAAUAUUGACGUGUGCAUUGCAAGGUCUUUGAAAGAUGUUACUGUCAGGUUUAUUCACUUAUAUAGCAGGGUGGGAGCAUGCAUGCGUUCAGCUCUUUGUAUUGGUUCUGACAUAUGCCAGUUCUAUAAGCUGUCACACUGCAGUUUAACAAGAGGGUGGUUUGUGAUCAUGAGAUCUAGAGCUGUGGUUUGUGUGAUCAGAUAUGUGAUUUGUGAUCAAACAAUGUGUGUUGUUCGUGAUCUUGAGGUGUAGAGCUGUGGUUUGUGGCCAUAAGACAAGUGUUGUUCGUGAUCUUAGGGUCUAGAGCUGUGGCUUGUGUGAUCAUCAGAUAUGUUAUUUGUGGUCAUGAGGUCUAGAGCUGUGGUUUGUAACCAUUACAAAGGUGUGGCUUGUGAACACAAGACAAGUGUUGUUCGUGAUCUUAGGGUCUAGAGCUGUGGCUUGUGUGAUCAUCAGAUAUGUUGUUUGUGAUCAUAACACAGGUAUUAUUUGUGAUCAUGAGGUCUAGAGCUGUGGUUUGUGACCAUUACAAAGGUGUGGCUUGUGAUCACAAGACAAGUGUUGUUCCUGAUUGUGAGGGGCACGGGGGUGGUUAAAACAUUCGCUUGUCACAACUAAAGUUCAAUUCCGUUAUUGGUACAAUGUUUGAAGCCCAUUUCUAGUGUCCCCUGCCGUCACGUGACAUUGCUGAAACAUUUCAAAUAGUGGUGUAAAACCUGACUCACUAACUCAUGAUCAUAAGGUUCAGAGGUGUGGUUUAUGAUCACAUGACAAGCUAGACUUAAGAUGAUAAAGUGUGGUUUCUGACAGUGACAGAAAUGGUUUAGAAAUAUGUAGAUAUGCAAUAUAAGUAACUUAAAUAAUGGUGGGAAUAAAUUAAAAUCUUGACAUAAUUGAUUAAUUAGAAAAUUCUUUACAAUGAACAUUUGACCAUGCAUGGAAAUAUUUCACUGUGUACCACGACUAUGUUGGUUAACCUAUUCUCAUGCUGUUACUUCCAGACACAUGUAAUAUAACACAGUGAAUAUAUCACAUAGAUGAGAGGUUAAAACAUACUGCUACAUAGAAUAAAGUUUUUUGCAUGCA